Molecule: long non-coding RNA, 853 nt
Organism: Cyprinus carpio carpio
Lineage: Eukaryota; Metazoa; Chordata; Actinopteri; Cypriniformes; Cyprinidae
Source: Ensembl
GGAUUAGUUUCGAGUUGACAAAACCAAACCGAUGCAAUCAGACUUAAUUGGUACCAUGAGGCAGCUUAUCAACUUUCUCUGUGAACUCAGGCUUUGAUCCUUAAGCUAUGAUUACUCCAUGGUCGCAUGCACAUAAAACAGCGGAGGAGCAAGAAAUAAUUAUUCAAAAAUACAAAGAAUAUAAGCAUGUUUUUCAAGCACGCAGUAAUACUGUUUCUGCUGCCAAAGCAAGAGAAGAGAGUUGGAAAAAGAUCGCUGAUUGCGUUAAUGCAUGUAACCCCAACUACAAACGUUCUUGGCAGCAGAUAAAGACAAAAUCUAAAAAUACAAUUCAAAGUGGGUGACGCAAAUGAUGAAGAGACCCUCUCUGCCUGUUCUGAAACCGUUGCUGAGGUGGAAACUGACUCAAUUUCUCCCUGAUGAAAUUGACCCCAUCAACUGGACUGCACAUUAAAGGAGCUGGACUGUGAGCCGAGGAGCCUCCAAAUAAAAAAAAAAUCAGUUGGAGAUCAAACAGCUGGAAAAACAGAUCUCUGUAUGUGAACUUACUAAACGCAUUAGUAUGAACACUGAAUACUUAUUAAUGCAACUUUCUCUUCCUAGCCAAAUAACCAAAAAAAAAACAUUUGAGACCUAUCUGCAGUUUCAAUGUGUUUUUAUUAAGUAAAAUAUUGUAUGGUGAUUGCAUCUCUGACUGCUGCGCCAGCUGGGUGGUCAAGUGUGAUGGGGUCAAUUUCAUCAGGGAGAAGCUGGUUUUGUGGUGGUACUCGCUCCUUUCUGAUAGUGGCUAUAUUGUGCAGAAUGGCACAUGCAGCCACUAUCUGUGAUGCCCGCUCUGGUGACACCCUUAACC